Molecule: long non-coding RNA, 1123 nt
Filed under: Mus musculus (house mouse)
Lineage: Eukaryota; Metazoa; Chordata; Mammalia; Rodentia; Muridae
Description: predicted gene, 50376
Source: RNAcentral
GAACAGCAAGACAUUCUGCUGUCACUGUCCUAGGCCAUGCCAGAGCUCUGUCGCAGUGGUGCAUCAUAUUGAAGAACAAAAUCAAAGCUGGGUCUUCAGAACACUUGCUCGGGAGCCAGCCCAUCUUGGCUCAUUCUGGUCAUGAGAUAUAGGUCUGGAGGUGCUUUGGAGGACAAGAUGAGUGACAGUUUCUCCUCUCCCCAUCUGUGGAAGUGAAGAGUGAGCGGGUACCAGGACCUCAGGACGCCAGACCCAGAUGCUACUCAGAAGAUGACCACAGCCACUGCAAAGGAAGAUGGGAUUGAAAGACACAGGAGAGACCCCAACCUCUUAGUUCCCAAGAAUUACAGAGAUGGAAAUGGAGAGGUGCCUGAGGAAAAGAAGGUCCAGCAACAGGCCCAAAGUGAGAUCCAGCUCAAGAGGAGGUCCCAAGGCCUGACACUAUUACUGAGGCUAUGGAGCAUUCACAUAAAGGGACCUAGCAUGACUGCCCUAUGAAACACCCCAAAACAGCUGAAAGAGUCAGACGCAGGUAUUUGUACCCAACCAAUGGACAGAAGCAGCUGACCCCUGUUGUUGAAUUAGGGAAGGCUGAAAGAAGCUGAGAAGGCGAUCCUGUAGGAGAACCAGCAGUCUCAAUUAAUCUGGACCCCCGAAAUCUCUCAGACACUGGACCACCAAACAGACAGCAUACACCAGCUGAUAUGAGGCCCCCAACACACAUACAGUAGAAGACCCCUGGGUCUGAGUUCAUUCAGAGAUGAUGCACCUAACCCUCAAGAGUCUGGAGGGCUCAGGGAGUUUAGAGGUCAGAUGGGGUUGGGGGUGGGGACAUCCACGUGGAGACAGGAGGAAGUAUGGGAUGUGGAACAGUAGGUGGGUGGAUUGGGGGGAGAUAAAAUAUGGAGUAUAAAAAUGAAUUAAUUAAAAUUUUAAAAAUUAAAAAAAUAAUUUUUUUAAAAGAAAGACACAGGAAGUAGGACUUGCUAUUGCACUAGGAUAGCAUAGCAUUCAUAUUGUUUGGUCUUUGGAACUCCUUAAGGUAACAUUGUCCUUUGACGUCUCCAAGCUUUUGUUUGAUCUAUCUAGAUCUCUACUUAAAAUAAAAUAAAUCAAGUUGAAA